This 57-nucleotide microRNA precursor is filed under the name Xenopus laevis (African clawed frog). RNAcentral's name for it is "microRNA xla-mir-128 precursor (xla-mir-128-2)". Its record names the gene xla-mir-128-2. It matches the Rfam family "mir-128 microRNA precursor family", at positions 15 to 71 of the family's 83-position model. Lineage: Eukaryota; Metazoa; Chordata; Amphibia; Anura; Pipidae. The record is from miRBase by way of RNAcentral.
CGGGCCCGGAGCGCUGUCUGAGAGGGUUUACGUUUCUCACAGUGAACCGGUCUCUUU